Rattus norvegicus (Norway rat) is the source of this 14023-nucleotide non-coding RNA. The record is from RefSeq and is a predicted model, not a curated record. NCBI's taxonomy places the organism in Eukaryota, Metazoa, Chordata, Mammalia, Rodentia, Muridae.
UAUUUAAGACAACCUGCGGAGUCCAUUCAGUGUUGCACAUAUAUAUGCUUAGGGCUGACCACGUGGGAUUAGAUCACCGAUGAGGAGCCUCACCCUUGGAAGAGUAAGUCUCUCUCUCUCAACUGUCAUUAAUUUCCCGUAGCUCGGCAUCGAGGCGGACGGCCCCGUGAGAUCUCCCCCUUCUGCACCAGCCAGUUAGCCGGCGGUGUCACUGUUCAGGUCUUGUUUCGGCAGCCAUAUUGCGGGGAUUUCACGGUGCAGGUUCCCUGUCGUGUGGAAGACACGAUCUCACAGCAUGUUUCCAGCUGAAAGACUAUCCAGCUGGAUAACCUAGGGCACAGGUAACCUUCAGUUCACCUACCUGUAAACUGGAGAGAUGACACUGUCCCUCGUGUAAUAUUGAGGAGGCGACUGUAUGGUGUCCUCAGGGCAUGUGUGUGCGGGUCUGAGCCCUGAAGACCCGAAACUCACAAAGGUAACUUACACAGCUGCUUCGGCUCUCGGUAGUGGGAUCUAACAGAAAGGAGUCACCCAAUAGGUCGGCGCGAUGGGAUCUGACCGCUCCCUGUGGGAUCUCACUGUAAUACUCAGGUCCUUCUUCUUUGCAGGGAUCCUCUGAGUUUUGGAAUUCUGCCUCUCAGAGCUCGCCCUCUGGCUUCAAAACUACCUUCUUUUUUUUUUCUUCCAAAUUUAACUUAAUUUUUCAUAUAGCUGAGCAUUUUGCCUCACAUGUGUCUCUGCACUGAGCCCAUGCCUGGUGCCUACCAAUGCCAAAAGAGUGGUUAAGAGCUCCUGGGAUUGGAGUUACAGAUUAAUGUAGUUGUGAGCUAUCACAUGGGUGCUGGGACUUGAACCUCACUCCUCUGGAAGGGCAACCAGUGCUCUUAACUGCUGAGCCCUGGAUGCCAUAUUUUUACAAUUAGUAACCACACGUGUCACUUCCUAAGUUUAGAAUCCUGUGUGUUUUGACCUCCAACGGCCAUGAGAAUAUGAUCAGGAAUAUCUUUAACCCUACCACAGCUCAUGUCUUCUUGGGAAUCACCCAAAGCAUCCUUCCCUUUGCCCUUUUCUGAGUUGACCAGAGUUGUCUCGGUCAUUCAUUCACUUGUCAUUCUUUAUAGAGACUCAUGGAUCCAGCCCGUGUCUUCAAGGUCACCUGAGGUAAUCCUCCACUGACUGCAGUCAUCGGCUGAAUAACAUUCCAGCUCCUAUUUGCAAAGCACCAGCAAUGGAUAAUUCAUCAGCCCCAAGAUAGCACAUUCCAUUAUUGCCUGUUAGGGAGCUCUUUCUUUAUUAGCUUUGAAGUGAAUUCCCUGUAAUUUCUCUCACUGGCAGUGGACUAGCAAGAGAUGGAGAUGUCUCUUGGAGUCUCAGCAAGAUGAAAUAGUUUAUCACUGAGGAUGUUUGGAGUUUCCAGUGCACAGCGCUAAUUUACACAUAUCCAUUCUGUGACUUUUAUCAUCAUUUUGGAGUUCUCCACAGAGAACACAUUUCAUUGUUGUCUAUGCCUGGGAGGGCCUACUCCAUCAGUCCUGACUUCUGGGAUCACAUAGGUCUCUCGAGACAGCCCUUUCCCUAUGGAAGGGCAGCCAGGGGGGCCCUAGACACCCCUGAUUUACCUGGUCUUUCCUAAACCACCCUCAUCACGCUGAUUAGCUUUCCCUGAAGAGAUGUGUGUCAGUUGACAUAUGCAUCAUUUAUAAUGCUUUCAAGUUGGCCUGUCAUGGAAAAUCAACUCAAAGGGGCUUAAAUGAUGAAGGGAUUUACUGAGGCUGGCCAGCUUAAGGCAAAGCUUUCUUCCUCACACUCCGGAUAGUACUGGGGAGACGUCCCUCCUUGUGAUUUUCUCCACUUCUUUUCUUAGUUUAUCCUCAGAAUGACUUCAUUUUGGGAAGCAGGAUGGUGGCCGGCCUCCGGGUGCUCCUACUCUUUAAUUUCCCUCUGAGGAAAAGAGGAUAUUUGCUCCUCAGUGUCUUAGUCACUGUUCUAUUGCUGUGAAGAGACAUCAUGACCGCGGCCGUGGCAACUCUUUUAAAGGAAUGCAUUUAAUUGGGGUUUGUUUGCAGUUUCUGAGUUUUACUCCAUUAUCCUCAUGAUGGGAAGCAUGGUGUCAAGCAGGCAGACAUGGUGCGGAGAAGGAGCUGAGAGCUCUGCAUCUGCAUCCGCAGGGGCAGGGAGAAAGAGACUGUGGCUUGGAAAGGGCUUUUUGAAAUCUCAAAGCCCCACCCCUACCCCAAUCUCCAUGACACACUUGCUCCAACAAGGUUGCACCUCCUAAUACCUCCUAAUCCUUUCAAAUAAUGCUACUCCUUGGUGACCAAGAAUUCAAAGGUAUGAGCCCGUGGGAGCCAUUCUCAUCACACCACACUCAGCCAAGAGCAACAAGAAUGCAAAGUCCUACUCCUUAGUUAGUGUCUCUUAGGUCACAAGCCCAAGAUGUCCAUCUUCCUUUGCUGGGAAGAUACAAUGGAGACUGAAAGCUAUUUCUUUUUUGCUGUAGCUGAUGAAACAAAACAUCACAAACAAGAUGGCUUGAUCAGCAAAAGGUUAUAGCAUGACAUAUCUGGAGGGUAGAAAUCUACGACCAGUGUCAGCAGGGUUGUCCCUCCUGCAGGGUGUGGGGAGAAUUGUUCUAGGCACUCCUUCUCACCGUGUUGACAGCCAGAUAGCUGUCUCUCCUUAUAAUACUCCACAUGUUCUUCCCGCUGUGUGCAUCUCUUUUUCUUUUCCUAGCUUUCUUUUAUUGGGACACUGUUGUUUGUAUUGGAUCAGGGACCAACACUACCCCACCAUCACUUCAUCUUAAGUCUGCCCAUAACCAUCUUGUUUGAAAAUAAGGUUGCAUCCUGCAGUGCCCAUGUGCUGUGGGACAUCAGUGUUCUAAUUGGUUAGUACAUGGUGUUUAUAAAAGAUCCUGAGGGUUAGGAUUCUCACUUAUUCCUUUGCAGGGAGUCGUAAUGCAACUAUAGCAGAACACUGCAUCAGCCAUCACAUAAUCUAUUAUAAAGUUUGGACCCUGCAACUGAGCACAGUCCAUGGGUAUGUUUGACUUGUAUAGUGAAGAGUAGACUAGAUUCGAAUUCCUCUCCAGACAAGCUUAUGCCACCAGGGUGGGACAGCCCUGAGCACUAUAAGCUUCUCAGAAGCCACUCAGUACAAUGACAAAAAUGCCUAUAUGGGGAAGUCACUAUAUUGGAAGCCUUAGAAAGUCAGCAGCGGGAAGACCAAUCAUUAACAUCCCCAAAGCCCUAUUUAUGAGCAAGACCUUGGCUGGAGAGGUGGCUCAGUGGGUAAGACACUUGCUUCGAAAGUAAGAGGACCUGAGUUCAAAUCCCCAGGACUUACAUUAGAAAAAGAAAGUUCCACUGCCAGAGUACUGUAACCCAUGUCCUGGGGAGCAGAAACAGGCAGACAUGAGGAGCUCACUGGCCAGCCACCAGAUGCUAAGUUGUGAGCAUUGGGUUCAGCGAGACACCGUGUCUCCAAACAUAAGAUGGACGGAGGCUGGGGAGAUGGCUCAGAAGGUAACUAUGGCUGACCUCCUGAGUUAGAGCCCUCAUAGCCAUACCGGAAAGGAGAGAAACAAUUCUUGAAAAUUGUUCUUUGACCCCACUUGUGGCUUAGCAACCACAUCUACCCUCCUCCCCACACCCUCCUCCUCCCACACCCACAUAAAAGAAAUAAAUAAAAAUGUGGUUUAAAAAAAUAGCAUAAUGAGGUGAAAAGCAAUCAAGGAAGACACUUGAUUCCUUCCUCUGGUCUUCCCAUGAACCCACGCCUGUACAUACAUGUGCACAUAACACAUGCAUGCACACACACACACACACACACACGAGAUAGACAAGUAGUUAAAGUUUGGCCUUUUAGAGUAAGAAGAGUAUCUGGAAAACAGAGGUAUUUCCCUCACCCAUGCUGUGUUUACAGAGGUUUCCAAGUGCUUGUGAUGCUCCGUGGCACACGUGAGGAAUGGCUCUCACUACCACCCUUCACUGCCUUUCACAUUCCUGUGACUUCCAGACACUAACCCUGCUUCUAGUACACACGCCCCCUUUGUCUUUCACGGCCUAGACCAAAUGUCUCCCCUGUGCUCGCUCUGCCUUCCUGGGCCUUUGGAUGCUCAGUGGGCCUUUCAAUGGACCGAAAUCAUCUCAGCCUCCUCCCACAGGCCAACCUGAGUUGGGGCUGUCUCAGGGGGUUCUAGGAUGUAGCAAGACAGCAGUUAAGAGCAGACCAUCAAAAGCUCUGCACAGCCACUAAUGGAGACCAGAAGGGAAUGGGUUCCAUAUAGAUGCCUGUUGUGUAAUAUACUGUGACAGUGCCAGGUGCCAGAGAAGAUAGGACCCACAUCAGUCCUUACACAUUGCUGGUAGGAUGUGUACUGUACAACCCAUUUGAAAAUAGUCUGGAGUUACCUUACAAAAUUGAGUGUUUUUUAACUACUGUUCCUCAGUGGGUUAGGCUAAAUCAUUCAACAAGCCAAUCAUACAUUACUUUCCUUAUUGCUGUGAUAUAACACCUGUUACACACAUCUUGAGGAGGGAAAGGUUUGCUGUGGCUCACAGUUUGAAGGUACAGCCCACCAUGGUGGGAGAGGCAUGGUGAGAACUCCGUAUUGACAUGAUUUCAGUCAAGCACAGAAAUAUGGAUGUUAGUGCUUUGCGCGUUUCCUCUUCAGUUAGAGACCCCAAUCCAUGUCAUGAUGUCACCCAUGUUCAGAGUGGGUCUCCCCUCCUCACUUAGUCUUCUCUGGAAGCACCGUCAAAGACAGGCCCAAAGUUGCAUCUCCACGGUGAUUGUAAGUCAAGUGAAGGUGACAAUGAAGACUGGUCGUCGCACAUACUUAGCAUCUGUGAUAUGCCAUGCUCCCGGAUAGUAUCUAGGAAUAAAAACAGGGACAGAAACGUACCCCUGCCUUAUAGUCUAGCAGGAAAGACUGACAUACAUUUCAUCAAUGAGAUGCAAAUGAGUCUGUGAAUUCUACCAUGGUCUCAGACCUGGUCUCUUGGGGGAGGACAGUGCAGGAGCUCCAAUGAUGGAUGGGAGGUAAUCCGGGUUUGCAAACUGCAUGAACUUGAGCAAGUUCUAGUCUUUGAGGACUUCUUAUUUUAAAAAGAUGCCAUGGGGGCCUGGCCAGACGGCUCAGCUAGUAAAGGUAUUUGUUGCCAAGCCUGACAAUCUGGAUUUGAUUGCCAGAACCUUCAUGAUACUGGCUCCUGAAAGUUGCUCUCUGUCUUCUAUACUACACACACACACACACACACACACACACACACACACACACACACAACACGAUACAUAGAUAGAUAGAUAGAUAGAUAGAUAGAUAGAUAGAUAGAUAGAUAGAUAAAGUUUUCAAGUGAAAAUUAAGCACAGAUUAAAACCUGGCACAAGUAUACAGGAAGCACCAGGGACUAAAUAAAGGUAGGCAAAGACACAAGACUGCUGAGUCAGUGAUAAACCAGAGCAUUGCAAUUCAGAGCACAGCCCAAAAGAUGACAAUGGCUACAGAGCCCAACACUGCACUCUGUUGCUCAUUUGUCAAUGCUUCCUGACAUUCUAAGAGGCAGAGUGAGUCUGCCACCAUGACUUACUGUAUCUGCAUUGGGGCAAGAAUUUGAACCCAGACCUUCUGUUCCAGAGACGGUUCUAGAACAGUCUAUUCUGCAAUGCUUUGGGGGAGCAAAUAUGAGGGGAUCUGAGGGAGACAGAUUGUAAAGCCAUUAGAUCAGAUGCUAAUGACCAAUAAGGGUGGAAUCUGAAGCAGGCAGAGGGAGGAACUGAAGAAACUUCCUCACAAAGCCCAGAAGCAGAGGGCUGGUACUCCAUUUCACCUGCAUUGGAGUCCCCAAGGUUAGGCCCACCAAGGAGGAUGCAGCCAGAUAAGGCAUCAUCAAUAUUAACGAGUGCCAGUCCCUCUGCUCAACCCUCGUUUGUUAUCUUUUUUAUCUUGCACAGCACCUUGUGAGAGGGAGUGUCCCCACCUCACAGUUGUUCAAACACGUCCAUAAGAUUAAGUCAUUGGACCUGGGUCACAGAGGCAGAGGCAAUGCCAGGACAUGUCUUCAUGCAACCCCGCCCCCAGAUUUUGUUGUCUUUCACUCUUGCUGAUCACCUGUCUCUAGCUUCUGUCCUUUCCUGAGGCUAAUACCCUGCACUCAAGGUCAUCUGGGAUUUGUCUUUGGACCACUGGAGCUAUUGUUGCACCCACAGAGAAUGUAGGUCUUGAGGAACCCUUUGUCACAUCUAGGUGGUAGGAGCACGAGAGCCCUGAUCAUCAUGGCGAGACAGACUCCGGAGGCAUGGUUACACACACGGUUACAUACAGAACGCCCUGUGGUAGCUACGGCUAGGACUUGGUGGUAAUUACUCCACCACACCAAAGGAUAGACCCAUCUUUAUUCAUUCAAGCUCAGUGUUCUCCGAUAUUAGCUUCUUCUCCACUCCUGUCCUGCUUCUCCUCUCCCAUUCUGCUUCCCCACUCCCAUCCUGCUCUUCUCCUGGAACAACUAUGUUCAUAAGUUGUCUUCUCAGGAUCUGUUUUCAGAACCCUAACUCAAGACAUCCUUAGCCUCUUAACCACCUCCUCUACUCCCAUCCAACUCCCUACUCCCACCCCACCCUCAGUAUCAUCUUUCUCCUAUUCAUACCUACUUGCUGCCUCACACUCUCUGGGGACCAGAAGCCAGUUGCUACCCCUACUCCUCUCACAUGGCCUAGGUCUUCCCCGGGGUUUCCCUUCCGUACACUCCUGAGCACACAUUCCAGAUGAGGCCCCACCUCCACAGAGGGUAUAGACUGACUACUUAGGUUUUACUUUCCCAAACUUGAGCAAGCAUGACCCACCUCCCAGGGCGUGGGACAAUGGGGCUGUAGUCAGAGAGAGUUUCCAGGCCCUGUUCAGACUUGUGCUGGUGCUGAGGCAGGUACUUGAGGGAUCAGCCCUGGGUGUCUGGAGGGGAGAACCAGACAGACUACCCCAGGGAAGGAUGCCAAACCUGUAAGUAAAGGUCCUUUGUAAAAAGAACAGGCCUUGGACUAACAAGUUUCUUGAGGGAUAUGUAACACGAAGUUAGACACAUCCACCUAAGGCACAUUGAGUUGAAUUUUCUUCCUCCACUUGGUGUUACCUCACAAGGGAAAAAUGCUAGGUGGUCCAGGGAAACCUUUGGAAGAUGCUGACUGUGCUAUCCCCCUGUCUAGGUCCAUAUGAACUGGAGAUUAAUGACUCCUGUUACUACUGUCUACCACUUACAUAUAGCUUCCUAACCGACCUACAUUCAACUUAAGAGGAAAGGGUGGGGAAGGGAUAACUCAGCCCAGGAAUGGCAGGGUGGUCCUGGUCCCUCUCUUGGAAUCGGUCUCCUUAUCUGUAAAAGGGACAUCAUUCCUCUCUGUCCCUCUCUGUUCCUCUCUGUCCCUCUGUCUCUGUCUCUGUCUCUGUCUCUGUCUCUCUCUCUCUCUCUCUCUCUCACACACACACACACACACACACACACACACACACACACACACACACACUGCCCUUCAAGUUCUUACACUUUUCAAAACUUCUCUAUGAUUCUAUUUAUCAUUUUCCCAGCAGUCUUCUACCUCCUUCCCAAACCCCUCCUCUGAAACAUGAAGAGCCUUCCUGGCUGUCCACUCUCAGUUCACUCCCUCAUGUCGCCUGGUUAUGUCUACUUAUCUCUUAGGGCUCAACUCAGGCUUCAGUUUCCCAAGGAAGCUUUUCUGAUCUUUUCCAGCCCCUUCUCUGGGCUCCCACAUCACCUUAUAUUCUUGGUCAUGCAUCAUUUCAUAUGUAUUCUGGUCUUUAUGCCUGGGCUAGAGCUUCAAUAGCAUGGCCGUAUUUUAUCCCUGAACUCUAAGACCUACCAUAACAUCUUUGAUGUAGCAAGCACUCAGUAAAUGUUUGUUGAACAGACACCCAAACAGAAGGAAAGUGUCAGAACAAAGGAGAUAGCAGAUAGGAGGGGAAACUGCAAAUUGUCAUUACACUUAUGAAUGGUUUUUCUCUGGAUAGAUAUAUUUUUGCAUGCCUCUGGAGACUAUCUUGAGAUGAGGAGGCCAGCCCACUUGUAGCAUCUUUUUCUGGGGUGGGAUUCUGGAUUAUAUAAAAAAGCAUAAUGUGAGCAGAACACAAGCCUUCAUCCAUACCUGCUCCUUGCCUAUGGGUGUGACGUAUCCAGCUGCCUCAGGCUCCUGCUGAGCUGACUUCCCUGACAUGAUGAACUUUGACCUUAAACUAUGAGCAGAACUAAACCCUUUUAUUGUGGGACUUUCUUAGACUCACCAGUUGUAUUAAUAAAACUCUGAUCUAUCUGUUCCCCUCCGUGUCCCUUGAAUCCACUAUCUGCUUUCUUCUCCUAGCGUUUCUGCUCCCUACUUCCUGCACAGCUAUUGGUCAUCAGCUCUUUCUUAUGGCCGAUCAGCAAUGAGACAGCCUCUGAUAUAAUUCUAAAUUGCCUCUAGGUAUAGAGGAUCUUCACAUAUCUGAGCAAUGAGGAAGGAUAAGUAUUCACAAAUAUAAGGUCUGUGGUGGGCAGAAGAAAUGACAACAGCAAGAUCCUGCCAGCAUUCAACUCUCUGCCUUACAGAAUUAACAACUGGAAAUAGAGAGACACACCUUCACACAGUGUAAAAAAAAGUUACCCCAACACCUCUCUCUCUUGAGCUGUUUUUUUUUGUUGUUGUUGUUGUUUUUUUGUUUUGUUUUGUUUUGUUUUGUUUUUGUUUUUUCGGAGCUGGGGACCAAACCCAGGGCCUCGCGCUUGCUAGGCAAGCGCUCUACCGCUGAGCUAAAUCCCCAACCCACCUCUUGAGCUGUUUUUAUAGGAGUCUUUUAUCCAACAACAGAAAAAGCAUCUAAGGCAUUGACACAUCACAUGUUAUCGAUGGGAUUACAGUAACAGUUGCUAAGCCUUGGCAAAGAGAUUUGCUGAACAUCAGAUGCUAAUCAAACAAUCAGAAAUUCCUUGUGCACAUGCAGCUGUAUUCUUUCUAAAUUCACCCUGUGUCCAGAAUCUCACUCUAGACUCCACUCAGUAGCUCAGGCCUUGCGAUCAAAAAUCCAGACAAGGCACACAGAGUAUGGUGAGGAAGGUGGGGAUAGUGUGUCACAGAGGAAAGUAGGGUGGCCUCAGGGAAUGGUGUUGACAAUGUCAGGGGAACCACUGAAGAGGAAAAGACUCUCGGAUUGAGAGUGGACAGUGUCUAGAGAGACUAUUGUGCCAUCUUAUUUUAGGCAGACUUUAUACUACUUAAGUUGUUUUGCUUUGUUUUAAGGAAACAACUUCCUCAGGGGUGUUUUCUCAUCUAGGUGACAGACAGAUUCAUUUGGAUUUAUUCUUAUGGAGGGAACAAUGGAAGGUCUUCGUCCUUUACCAGAAAUCCUUCAGCCAUGUAUAGUAUAUUCUGAUAUUUUGAGCAGUUGAAAAAGUCAUGUUGACAAGGUCAUGGAUCUACCUAGGGCCAGAGAUGUGAAUCAUGUCCCAUUCUUUUGACCAAUAAUCAAAGUCCUAAUUUUACAAGCUGAUGAUUAUGAGGGAAGGGGCCUUCAAGGCUGCUCAUUUCUGACCAGCCAUCUAACAAUACCACAAAUGGCAGGAAAUCAUUAAAACUCCUGAGCCCAAGGUGACUGUUUUAUGAAUAACCAGUCCAGGAGUCAGGGGUGCUGACACGGAGAACAAAUAUCACACCUGAGCCUGUCAUAUGCUUGUCUCAGCCAUUUUCAUUUUCAUUUCCAUUGGUACUGAUGUUCACAUUGCGGUCCUGACAUUCACAGUACAUGUUCAUCUAAAAAUCAGUUAGAUAGAUAGAUACAAUACACAGAUGAUAGAGAGAUGAUAGAUAUGAUAGAUAGAUACAUAGAUAGAUGAUAGAUAGAUAGAUAGAUAGAUAGAUAGAUAGAUAGAUAGAUAGAUAGAUAGACAGACAGACAGACAGAUAGAUAGAUCGGCCCCACUAUUACUCUUUGCUCUUUUCUUAAGUGAGGGGGUAUCAAAGGCUAAACCCAUGUUUUCCCUUUGCGGGUGAGAUGGCGGCAAAUGGGUGGGAAUUGAGAACAGUGUGGAAGAUAAGGGUUGAAGCCAAGCUCUCUAUCCCACCCCUGCAAAAAGACAGCCGGCCAAGCAGGACAGCCACCUCUCCUAGCCUGUUUCUAUCUUCUAAGUCAUGUCUACUCCCUUAUUAACAAGGCCCCAGCACAAUGCUAGACAACCCCCCCACCUCUUCUAGCCCCUCUCCUUCAGAUGCCUAUACAUUGUCCAGGACUGCAGGACCAGACCCUGGCCUCCCUGUCUCUUUCCUCUUUCCCUUUCAUCCCUAAUUCUUUUUUUCCUUAAUAAGAUUUUUACCUUAAUUUGUGUAAAGGUUAAUGCUGUCUUCUGAAGAUUAUAGAUUAUAAUUAUAAAAAUGACAGAUGAAAUCCUCCCUCCCUUGAAAUCUCUCAGACCUUCAGGCCUUCUGUGUGACCCUCCCAGAGAUUGGUGAUUGGUGAUUGGUGUGUGUGUGUGUGUGUGUGUGUGUGUGUGUGUGUGUGUGUGUGUGUGUGCAUGAGCGCUCGUGCUCAUGUGUGUUUGAUGGGAGGCACAGGUGUAGAUCCCAGAGGUCAACAUCCAGUUCUUCAUUGCCAUUCACUUGAUGCGGUUUUGUUGCUGGUUUGGAUUGGGUUUUGGUUUGGUUGUUUCGUUUUAUUUUUAUGGAGUCUCUCCCCAGCCUGAACUUGCUGAGUAGGCUAUGCUGCAUGGCCAGAGAACUCCAGGAAUCUGCCUGACUCCACUUCACCAGAGCUGAGAUCACAAACACGUGUUGCUAAGUAUUUCUAUCUUUUUAUUGAAUUUCUAUAUUUAGUAUAUUUUAGCACCACAGUGCUCCUGUGGAGGAGGUCAGAGGACAACCUGAAGGAGUCAGUUUUCUCUACCAUGUGGAUCCCAGACAUGAAACUCAGGUGGUUUGACUUGAUGGCAGUGCCUUUACCUGCGGAACCACCUCUCUCGAUCGCCCGCAUCCAGCCUUUUGUGUAAGUUCUGAGGGGUCAGACUCAGGUCUCACGCCUGUACAGGAAGCACUUUACCGACUAAGUAUCCUAGUUUGCUUCCCAUGGCUAUGAUCAAACACUCCAGCCAAAAGCAAGGUGGGGCGAAGUGGUUUGAUUCGGCUUAAAUUUCCACAUCACAGUCCAUCACUGAGGGAAUGUAGGAACCCAAGCGAGAGCAAAGACAAGAACUACAGAGGAAUGCUACUGAACUGGCUUGUUUUCAUGGCUUAAUCGGCUUGCCUUCUUGUACACUUCACGAGGAAGGGCCCAGGGAUAGCACCUCCCACCGUGAGCUGGACCCUCCCACAUCAGUCAUUCAUCACAAGAAUACCCUUGCAGACUUGUCCGCAGGCCAGUCCGAUAAAGGCGGCCCCUCAAUUGAGUUUCCACCUUCUUCCCAGAUGACUCUAGUUGUGUCAGAAUGACAAAAAACUAACCAGCCCACUGAGCUAUCUCUGCAGAAGCCCUCUCACUGAGAUAAUUUUAAUAUAUACACUUCAUAUUUCCAUGCUCAUCUGCUUACAAAUUCCCACCCUCGGUAUUCUCUGGGAACCUUAUACCACAGAGCGCAGCAGACAGUGUUCUGCUCCUCAGUUCUCUCCGUGAACAAUACGUCUCAGAGAUCUCUCCACAUCCAAGCAUGGAGAAUCUCCUUUAUGAUUUUCACAGCUAUAGUCUUCUAGUCUACGGAACUUGCUCUGCCAGUCUGACACAGGUGGCUGUUCAUAACAGGUACUAUAAAUAAUGAACAGCUGUAAAUAGAGGGAAUUUCCCAAGCACGAACUGUAAUUGGACUAACAACUGCCAAAUUGUCCGUUACAAAAAUUAUACUAAGGUACCCUCUGGCCAAACAUAUAAAAGGUAUGUUUCAGAAUUUUAAAAAUUAGAACCAUACCUACACAUAUAUCCUUUCGUUGACCUACUAUGUGCCAAGCAUAUUCGACUUAUCUCGUCCGAUGGAACCCUUUCAGUUGUAAUGGCUCUGACCCUCAUAAUGGAAAUCCAAGAUUCAUUGUUGAUGGCAGAAAAUAAAAAAACAUUUUCUCCUUCUAUAGUCCCUGCUUGUCUUUGUCUUUCAUCGGGAAGCCAAGAAACAGAUGUGCCACUGGUCGUAGCUUGGUCAUAAACACUGUUGAGGAUGUGCACAACCCUGGGUGUGAUCCUUGGCACUGUGUAAACAAAGGCAGCCUGUCCUGGUUUCUAGAACAGACACAGCACCCGCACCCUCCAGGGGGAGAGCCAUUCAUUUCUGCUGACACCAGCAUGUUCUGAGAGACUUGAACAUCCCUUCAGAAGACCCGAGAAAAGCAGUUCAACUCUGCGUUGUGGAGUGGAGUCCCCUUCCAGGCCUGUUCAGCCUAACUCUGCAGCGUGUUCUAAAGAAGAAGGGAGUGCUGAUAAGCCACGGAAAAGAGGAAGAGAAUAUGAUGAGGUGGCAUGAGGAGCUUUCUUACUCAACCAAGUAUGAAGGAACAUGCUUCGUCAGAUUGUCACGGAUUGACAAAGGACUUUCUCCUCAAGCGAGGAAAAGAAAAUGGCUGCCACAGGGCUUCCCGCCUUUGUGCAGGGACCUCCGCGAACCUCCAUAGCUGCAGAGUAAUUGGGUUACUCAUAUAGGAUGGGUGUUUUGAGGUAAGGCAGGAAGACGUUAUAUGAUUGGUCAGAGCACAUUCAGCACAAAGUCAGACUCAUGGCCUCAGGCCAGGCUCCGACAUCUUCCUGCCUGUUGCGGAUGUCCUAAGUCCAGGAAGCCAGCAAGCCCGGGCUCAAAAAAAAGAGAAGACAGCUUUUGGCCACACCCAAGAGCAGUUUUUGGUCAAGCAUUCCUGGCAACUUGCACCACCGCAACAUGCCCACACCCUGAUAGCUGAUAGACAAGACGGUAGGUUCAUUAAGGCUGGCUCAAGUGUGGUUUGGGGGCAUACAGAGGGCUCCUUUCUAAAAAUAGUUCACUCCCAUUUCCUGCUGUAGAAGGCUUACUCCAUUGGAUUGGGGCUAUAUAGUCUCAAUAGCUCUGAUUUUAAAAUUCAGGGCCACUAUGUGUGGAAUAUACUCAGGCUCUACCCACUGUAGUACCCUGACUUGGCAUUUAUUUAUAGCCUUCUCCAAAUUCAAAAAAGGAUUUAACAUUAUCUCAUAUUUAUUUCUCACAUAACGGGAAACAAUCAUUCUGGCAAAUUCUGAGAGUUUCUAGGGAGAACUUGGACUCUGCCUUGGACAUUUCACUUUUCUACACAAAUACUCCAACAGCAUCCUGACUCGUUGCACUUUAAAAGGAAUCCAAACCUGGCAUCGUUCCAGGCCCUGCCUGCUUAGGCCCUAGUCCUGCUCAUCACUCUCAACACACACCAUCUUGUUCUCUGCCUCCUUCUACCUCACCAUGAUGACUGUUAGUUAUUUUGUGUUGCUGCGAUAAAAAUGCCACGGUGAAACUUGCAGAAGAAUUUAUUUCAGCUUAUAUUUUCAGAGAGGUAAGAGUCCACCAUAGUGGCAGGAACAGGAAGCUGAGAGAUCUCAAUGAAACAAAAGAAGCAAAGACAGCAAACUGGUAACCUGGAGUUGUGAGCUUUCAAAGCCUAACCCCCAUCUGAUAUAAUUCCAACUGCAAAGCCACACACCCUAAAUGUUCUACAACUUCCCAAACAGUUCCACCGAUUGGGAACUGUAGAGGGCCGCAAUAACACUCGCCACCGCUAGAUGGCGCUGGCUUCCACUGCGCCCCACGUGAAAGGCCAGGAUAGCCUCCGCCAUUACAAGAUGGCGCCAGCCUUUGCCGCCCCAGCUGACUCCCUUUCAGGAGGUUAACUGUGCACAUGUACAAGAGUGCCUUCGUGCCAGGUCUUUGCCCACUCCGGGGCGUGCCUGAUGAGAUCAUGGGUAAACAACCAAUCAGGUGUGGAUGCGCCGCGCUAAGGUGUAUAUAAGCGCACCAUGUUGGCGUGCCGAGGCUUCCUCUUUAAGAUUAUAAUAAAGUUUGGUCACAGUAAG